UAGUCUUUGCAGUUGAUGUCAGGGAGAAGUUUACUCGACACGACAUACACACUGUGCAAGUCCCAGAUCAGGGAAACCCAGGAAUGUUUCGUACUGUAAAUAACAUCAAGUAGCAUCAAUUUGAACUUAAAUUGCUGUAUUUUCCAUUAGUACUGUUGAAAAAUGAGCAGUAAAAAGUUAGAGUGACACAACGUUUUAAUUUAAACCAACCAACACAAAGGAAUCUGAAGACCAACUAACUCCAGGAAACUGAGAACAAACUAACUCAAGGUAACUUAGCAGAGACACAAACGACUACAGAAAACCAAACUAACGAAAAUGAAGAAAAAGUAACUCCGAAAACAUAACCAACUCAAGGUUACUUAACGGAAAACCAACCUAACUCAAGCAAACUGAGAACAUGACUAACUCAAGCUGAGAACCAAACUAACUCAACCCACAACCUGAGGAAAUGUUGAGCCCUUGAUUUCACUUUUGUCACUACCGGUCACACCUCAGUAAGACCGAGGCUUGAGCAACAGGGGACUAUCCUCAUAUGUGAACCCAAAGUUUUUGUGCAACUGUGUUUCACCAAAGUAAAUGUAAAUUUUAAGAGUAUGUGUUUAGUAGUAGUAGUAGUACUGAUCUAUAUCUGUAUCUUAACUUGUGAAAUACAUUGAAGAUCGAUAUCAGGAUAUAAAAUACCUCUACGCCAAAGUGAGUUCAUGUGGAAUGGAACGUUUUUUCCAAGAUGUUGCGGAUCGUUAGAUCACUUUCGAUUUGUCUUUUGGAAAGUGUGACAGUCCCUUGCAGAGAUCAUGUCAUGUUUUUAAAUUUUAAAUAAACCUGAAUUCGUCUGACAGUGAAGCGCUUGCCCGUGCACCCUGUUACCGCCGAAGACUGAAAUAAUUCUAAGGAAAACAGUGCUUUGGCCGCAGAACUUUUUCCAAUAUCUGUCAAAGCGGGGCAUUCGUCGGGAGGACUUGUGCACAUUUGUAGCAUGUGCGUCAGCAGUGUGACCACUGUGGGAAGACGUCAACUGAAGUGACCGUGCGGCACACUGAUUUAAUCACUUCUGGAGGAGAAAAAAAAAAAAA
Molecule: long non-coding RNA, 1076 nt
Organism: Cynoglossus semilaevis (tongue sole)
Lineage: Eukaryota; Metazoa; Chordata; Actinopteri; Pleuronectiformes; Cynoglossidae
Exons: 2
Source: RefSeq, a predicted model, not a curated record